This 1294-nucleotide long non-coding RNA is filed under the name Heterocephalus glaber (naked mole-rat). RNAcentral's name for it is "lncRNA (ENSHGLG00000050322.1)". Lineage: Eukaryota; Metazoa; Chordata; Mammalia; Rodentia; Bathyergidae. The record is from RNAcentral.
AGGCGCCUGAGAGCCCGUGAGCGGCAGGGUCAGGGCCCCUGCGGGCGGGGUCGCACGAGGCCUCACCCCAAGGGAGGCGGGGUCCAGCUGGAGCCCCUGUGCUGGGAGAGUCCGAGGGGCUCGGGCUGCUGAGGACCCACCUCUCCCUCCAGCCCUCCCUUCGCUGGGCCUCCGCGUGGCCUUUCUUCUGCCGCCCGUCAGCAGCAGCCAGCCGCUCCCGCCCCCGGAGCCCUCCUCCCUUUCUGGGCGCCCACCCUCUCUGCCAUUGCUCCGCGUUGCGUUCUCCUCGCCAGGGGCCAUCGCCGCGGCUGGCCUGCCUGAGGACGGCCCUCCAGUCCCCGGCAGCAGCACCAUGCUGAACAGGCCUUCCUCACCUGACCUCCCACAGCACCUCCAGGCCCAGGACGCCGGCAGGGAGACGGCAGGCAGGUGACCGUGAUGAUGGUGAGUCAAGCCCAAAGCAUUGAUGGGAAAUUCAGAUGAAUGGAUUGGCCACCUGAUAAGACAAGAAAAGCUCUAAGAAUGCAGCGCCGGGGAUGUAGCUCAGUGGUUCCGCCACCUGCCUCACAAGUGCAAGGACCUGAGUUCGAUCUCCAGUACCAAAAAAAAAAAAAAAAAAAAAAAGAAUACAUCCUAUUCUAGCCAGGGUUGGUGGCACACACCUGUAAUCCCAGCACUCAGGAGGCUGAGGCAGGAAGAUCACUGAAAGUUUCAGGCCAGCCUGUGCUACAUAGUGAGUUCAAGGCCAGCCUGAAUUACAUAGGAAGACCCUGUCUCAAAAAGAAAACAAAAAAAUAAUAGAUAAAUUAAAAAAAUUUAAAAUACAGAUGCAUCCUAUUGUGCAUUAGUAUUCCUCUCAGCUGAUGGAAUUAUAGGAGUUUCUCUGAUUUCGAUUUGUUUGUUGCUGUGGCGUUGGGUUUGAACCCAGGUCCUUUCACACACUAAGCAAGCACUUUAACAUUGAGUACUACCCCCAACCCUAGGAGCUUCCAGUGAAUUAAAGCCACAUGUGCCUGAAGAAGCCAGUGAAGUCACUGAAUGAAUGAUUCCAAAAUAAUUAUGUGCACACUAGGAUGAGAAGACAUUAAAGCAGCGGUGUUGCAAUUCCAUCUCCAGCGCUGUUUCCACCAAGUCUGGGGCCUGUCUAUGAGAGUGUGCAGAAUGGAUUUCCAUGUCUCCGGAGAACACCAAAGCAUGGCACAGAAGACGAAGCUGUUCACGGGGAAUGCUCAGGACAAGAAACAUCUUGGGAGCUGAAAACAUCCUGGGAGGCACAAACAUCUACUCAGUUCCU